AAACUGUCAAGUACUAUAAAUUUAUCUUCUGUAAAUUGUACUUUGACCACUAAAUAUAUCCAUUAAUACAUCUUAGUAAAUGUUCAGGGGUGCUGUCACCUCCCUGACACCUCAUUUACAGCCCCCUUUUCCCCAGCGCUUGGUAUUCUCUGACUUAGUUGGGCUAUACCAGGACACUGUACUGCUGCAAAGUGCUCAGUGUGUGAGGUGGGAGAGGGAGAAGCUGUUGAAUACCCUUCGGUGAGCCCGACCCCAACACCUGGUGGUUAAGAAAAAUGUCUCUGUUUCUGCCUUUUGGAAAUUUUGCUUUUUCUCUUUUUCACAGUGAGUUAUACAAGAGUCAGCAGAAAAGGGAUCUUCCAAAAGGCUGUCACUCUAGGAGAAUAUUUGUCCUCUUGGGUAUCCCUAGUGUACUAGCUGUGGAUUCUGCUCUUAAUUACUGAAUUAUAUUUUUGUCUUUGUCAAAAGACAUUUCACAAGAUAAUAAUCCAUAUUAUAUAAUCCUUUAAGUUCCAUACAUACUUUGGGAGACGUACUGACCAGAUUUCAGUUGUUAUUAAAUGAAGCUUGUAAAGCUUUUGUUGUUUUGUUAGGGUGAGUAUUUCUCUCCGUGCCCCACCACAGUGCACCAAUCACAGAUGAAAUGAAGGAAGCACUUGCUGCGUCUGUCCUAAUACGCACAUGAGCAGGGGGAGAAGUGCUCAUUGCAGAGGCAUUGUGAUUAGCAUCUGCGUGUCAUGAGCCCACACCAAAAAACUGCACGCAGAUUGUCCUUUUCCCAAAUCUAAGCAGACUUCUAGCUCCCUGUCAGUUACCAGUGUUCUUGGUACUCUUGUCUUUUUACUUCUUGUCUUGAUUAUGAAAUAAGCCUUUUGAUGCUCUUUAGGCUGCUUGUGUGCCGUUUGUCCCUCAUAAGAAUACUUCCUUUUACCCCAAUUUUCUUUUAUCUCAUUCCCUAAGACAAAGUCCCUCACCCAUUAAAGGCACGUGAAGUACUGAGCUCUUGUAAUACCAAUAUGUCUGUGAAUAAAUCUAGAAAUGAAGUUUCUUUGACCAGAGCUGAGCUGGGUGUGGGGAGGUUGGGGAAGUGCCCGUCUCAGUUCUGGGUGAAUGGCAGUGACCAUGCACUUCUCUACCAAGGGCUGGGGAGAAGGCUCUGCUCCUACAGGUCGCAUUCUCCAGGGGCAGGAGGGUGGGAGGGAAGCUAGAGACCAGGAAUGGGGAUAUUUGAAAUCUGCAUCGAUCAGGGGCCUCCUUUCCCAAAGAAAGUGGAAGUAUCCCCUUAGAGGCUGAAUGGGACCAAGGAGCCACGUUCCAUGUUCUCUUAAAUAGAAGAGAGCUCAGUGCUAGCACAUACUCCUGUGCUUCCUGAAUGAUUUCCUUUAGUAGUAAUGACAUUUCUAACAAAUGCUUUGUUGGAAAUAUCCUUGCAUCUAACCAAUAAUCAGUUGUUGAACUUUGCCUCUCGUUGUCUCCUUUUCUUUUCUUGCCCACUAUAUGUCACCCAUGCCACUACCCUGUGGGACCUGUUGUCGCUCGAUGUCUGAGCCUGCACAGAGUUAUUUUUAAUAAAAUAUAUGUUUUCUUUCAGCAUGCUUUUCACUUCCACUGCAUCUCUCGCUGGCUCAAAACACGACAGGUGUGUCCAUUGGACAACAGAGAGUGGGAAUUCCAAAAGUAUGGGCACUAGGAAAAGACUUCUUCCAUCAAGCUUAAUUGUUUUGUUAUUCAUUUAAUGACUUUCCCUGCUGUUACCUAAUUACAAAUUGGAUGGAACUGUGUUUUUUUCUGCUUUGUUUUUUCAGUUUGCUGUUUCUGUAGCCAUAUUGUAUUCUGUGUCAAAUAAAGUCCAUUUGGAUUCUAG
This 1864-nucleotide small RNA is filed under the name Pongo abelii (Sumatran orangutan). RNAcentral's name for it is "retained intron". Lineage: Eukaryota; Metazoa; Chordata; Mammalia; Primates; Hominidae. The record is from RNAcentral.